This 448-nucleotide ribosomal RNA is filed under the name uncultured bacterium. RNAcentral's name for it is "bacterial SSU rRNA". It matches the Rfam family "Bacterial small subunit ribosomal RNA", at positions 329 to 793 of the family's 1533-position model. The record is from RNAcentral.
UGCCAGACUCCUACGGGAGGCAGCAGUGGGGAAUAUUGCACAAUGGGGGAAACCCUGAUGCAGCGACGCCGCGUGAGUGAAGAAGCGCCUCGGCGCGUAAAGCUCUGUCAGCAGGAACGAUAAUGACGGUACCUGAAGAAGAAGCCCCGGCUAACUACGUGCCAGCAGCCGCGGUAAUACGUAGGGGGCAAGCGUUAUCCGGAUUUAUUGGGUUUAAAGGGUGCGUAGGCGGACAGUCAAGUCAGCGGUAAAAAUGCGGUGCUCAACGCCGUACAGCCGUUGAAACUGGCAGUCUUGAGUGGGCGAGAAGUAUGCGGAAUGCGUGGUGUAGCGGUGAAAUGCAUAGAUAUCACGCAGAACUCCGAUUGCGAAGGCAGCAUACCGGCGCCCGACUGACGCUGAGGCACGAAAGCGUGGGUAUCGAACAGGAUUAGAUACCCGCGUAUAG